Caenorhabditis elegans is the source of this 21-nucleotide non-coding RNA. Lineage: Eukaryota; Metazoa; Nematoda; Chromadorea; Rhabditida; Rhabditidae. The record is from Ensembl.
AUUCGGCUACAUUUCUCUCUU